AUACGGAAGGUCCGGGCGUUAUCCGGAUUUAUUGGGUUUAAAGGGAGCGCAGGCGGGAUUUUAAGCGUGACGUGAAAUGUAGAUGCUCAACAUCUGAACUGCGUCGCGAACUGGUUUCCUUGAGUGCAUUCGCCGUCAGCGGAAUUUGUGGUGUAGCGGUGAAAUGCUUAGAUAUCACGAAGAACUCCGAUUGCGAAGGCAGCUGACGAGACUGUAACUGACGCUAAAGCUCGAAAGUGCGGGUAUCGAACAGGAUUAGAUACCCUGGUAGUCCGCACGGUAAACGAUGGAUGCCCGCUGUUUGCGAUAUAUUGUAAGCGGCCAAGCGAAAGCGUUAAGCAUCCCACCUGGGGAGUACGCCGGCAACGGUGAAACUCAAAUGAAUUGACGGGG
Molecule: ribosomal RNA, 393 nt
Filed under: uncultured bacterium
Lineage: Bacteria
Description: partial 16S ribosomal RNA
Rfam family: Bacterial small subunit ribosomal RNA
Source: RNAcentral